This is a non-coding RNA of Populus trichocarpa (black cottonwood), 156 nucleotides long. The record is from Rfam. NCBI's taxonomy places the organism in Eukaryota, Viridiplantae, Streptophyta, Magnoliopsida, Malpighiales, Salicaceae.
UCUAGAACUCGAGAUAUGGGUUGAACACUGAACAGUAUCUGGGUUGCAAGACAGAUUAUGACUUCUCUUUUGUUGCUACAAUUUGAACUAGAAAACAGCUAUUUUGAAUCUUAGACUCUUCAUGAAAGUUUUAGGCCUAUGUCUUAGCUUUUCAUC